UUACAAGCAAGGAACAGAGGAGGAGAUGGGUCUUGAGUAUAUUUGCAGUGAUUUAAAAGGGACCACACAUUUCCCUAGCACAGAAGCUGUUCUAAGGCCAGCUCUUGUGAGUCUGAGAAAAUAGUUUCUCCCCACUUCACACCCUCUCUCCAGCAUUAAGCAGCUUCUGUGAGAUGCAGGUAUUGCGCAGCGAUGCACGGCCAUCAAGUACCACUUUUCUCAGCCCAUCCGCUUGCGAAACAUUCCUUUUAAUUUAACCAAGACCAUACAGCAAGAUGAGUGGCACCUGCUUCAUUUAAGAAGAAUCACUGCUGGCUUCCUCGGCAUGGCCGUAGCCGUCCUUCUCUGCGGCUGCAUUGUGGCCACAGUCAGUUUCUUCUGGGAGGAGAGCUUGACCCAGCACGUGGCUGGACUCCUGUUCCUCAUGACAGGGAUAUUUUGCACCAUUUCCCUCUGUACUUAUGCCGCCAGUAUCUCGUAUGAUUUGAACCGGCUCCCAAAGCUAAUUUAUAGCC
RNAcentral lists this small RNA (515 nucleotides) under Pan troglodytes (chimpanzee). RNAcentral's name for it is "processed transcript". Lineage: Eukaryota; Metazoa; Chordata; Mammalia; Primates; Hominidae. The record is from RNAcentral.